GCCUGUUCCCAGAUUGGUAAGCUGUGGAGCUCGAAUCAUCAACCGAUACAGUUGAGUAAUAGAAACAAACCGAUUCAACCUUAGUCUCUUCAAACUAGGUGACCUGAUUACUAGCUUCUCCAAUGCCUCAAAGUCUAUAGGGCAUUCAACACAAUCAAAGGUCAAAGACUCCAAACACGUUUUGUUCUCAGGGAAGUAGGAAAUCCAG
Molecule: unclassified non-coding RNA, 208 nt
Filed under: Hevea brasiliensis (rubber tree)
Lineage: Eukaryota; Viridiplantae; Streptophyta; Magnoliopsida; Malpighiales; Euphorbiaceae
Source: RNAcentral